CGCGUAGGUGGUAGUGAAAGUCUAUGGUGGAAUCUUAGGGCUUAACCCUAAAACUGCCUUGGAAACUUCAUUACUUGAGUCAGUGAGGGGAGGGUAGAAUUCCUGGUGUAGCGGUGAAAUGCGUAGAUAUCAGGAGGAAGGCCGGUGGCGAAGGCGGCCCUCUGGCGCUGAACUGACGCUGAGGCGCGAAAGCGUGGGUAGCAAACAGGAUUAGAUACCCUGGUAGCCCACGCCCUAAACGGUGGGUACUAGGUGUAGGGCUCGUAAGGGUUCUGUGCCGAAGGGAAACCAUUAACGUACCCCGCCUGGGGAGUACCGGCCGCAAGGUUGAA
Molecule: ribosomal RNA, 332 nt
Filed under: uncultured bacterium
Lineage: Bacteria
Description: bacterial SSU rRNA
Rfam family: Bacterial small subunit ribosomal RNA
Source: RNAcentral